CCUACGGGUGGCAGCAGUGGGGAAUAUUGGGCAAUGGGCGCAAGCCUGACCCAGCAACGCCGCGUGAAGGAAGAAGGCUUUCGGGUUGUAAACUUCUUUUCUGAGGGACGAAGAAAGUGACGGUACCUCAGGAAUAAGCCACUGCUAACUACGUGCCAGCAGCCGCGGUAAUACGUAGGUUGCAAUCGUUAUCCGGAUUUAUUGGGUGUAAAGGGCGUGUAGGCGGGACAGCAAGUCAGAUGUGAAAACUCAGGGCUCAACCCUGAGCCUGCAUUUGAAACUGUUUUUCUUGAGUGCUGGAGAGGCAAGCGGAAGUCGGGGUGUAGCGGUGAAAUGCGUAGAUAUAAGGAGGAAAACCAGUGGCGAAGGCGGAUUGCUGGACAGUAACUGACGCUGAGGCGCGAAAGCGUGGGGAGCAAACAGGAUUAGAUACCCGUGUAGUC
This 443-nucleotide ribosomal RNA is filed under the name uncultured bacterium. RNAcentral describes it as "partial 16S ribosomal RNA". It matches the Rfam family "Bacterial small subunit ribosomal RNA", at positions 338 to 795 of the family's 1533-position model. The record is from RNAcentral.